AUCGAGGCUGCGUGAGGGAUAGAAGUGGAAAUCCUUUAUUAUUUUUUAUUUAAAAUAAUAAAGAUUGCAACGUAUAGCCCGACCGAAG
Molecule: small RNA, 88 nt
Filed under: Flavobacterium frigoris
Lineage: Bacteria; Pseudomonadati; Bacteroidota; Flavobacteriia; Flavobacteriales; Flavobacteriaceae
Description: Flavo-1 RNA
Rfam family: Flavo-1 RNA
Source: RNAcentral